CAAUCAACGUUGAUUGGAGAGUGGCAACAUGCCCACAUGCACACAACACAGCUGAUAGGACACACCAUCCGGUUCUGUGCAGGACAAGUUGUAACUCUUUCAGACCUGUAACCAAUGUUUCCCUUCAUAAGUUCAUAUUUAACUUGCAAGUAUCCAGAAGCAUGAUUUGACAUAUCUCACACAUGGGUUGAGAGCUGAGUAGACAGCCCUGACUUGAACAAGACCUUUAAACUCUCAUUUUAGAUCCCUUGUCUGUGGACUUGUUGGCAUGCCGGCCGCAUGGCUUAGUUUUGGGAUUAUGUCAACGCCUUCAGCAGAUGCUAUUGCAUUACAUAAAGAGAUAUGCCAUGCUGGAGAGAUUCCACUCACUCCUAAUGUGUGCAUUCUGGCCACGGGCAACAACUUCACAUCCUGUCCUAUCACUGACAUGGCAACCAUGGAUUCUGGGAGCAUUCCCAAAGCUGCGUGGCAUCACUUGUCAAAGGUCUGAUAUCCCAGCGGAGGCACAGCAGGUUGUGUGACGGCAGAGAGGAACAGGAUGGAGCGGCUAUUUUUACCUGAAGCCCAGGAGUGAGCUCAACACAGAAGGUCUAUCUGCACAAAUGUGCGUGCAUGGUGAGGAUGCAGUCAAUCAGCAAACCAACGAGGGAGAACUGACGCAAGUGCAUGAGAAAAGGUGGAGAAGUGAUUUCUGCGACACAGAUCUGAGAUGAGCAGGCCCCAGCAAGUGUGAAGAAGGAAACAUGGAGGACCACAUGUAUUCAAAAUCCAAAUUUUAGGGACAGGAGUCUUAUCCUUCACCCAGAAAAAGAAAAAGGAUAUUGAAAAGCAAGAGCAAAAGACCGGCUAUUUGAAGUGUCAAGGCUACUGUAGCUGUAAUGUGUACUUUGAACUGUGUGGUUCGAGAAAGUUGAUUGCGAUAUAUGAUCUCAACGCUAGAUGGGAGAAAUUCCUACAUAUUGGACUUUUUUAAUGUUUGGAUAAAAUAAUCAUUGAAUCUAAAAUGUAAAGCUCUGUGUGGUUAAUUGCCAAGGAAUAAGUCUUUUUGCCAGAUUGCACCAGAAAGUGGCACAGCAGAUUUCAUUCAUGCGUCAUGCUGUGACGGAAUUACUACUUUUGUCUCUUGCAGUGGCUACUGUUGGUUGUGGUUGGAUUUGUUAGUGA
This is a long non-coding RNA of Perca flavescens (yellow perch), 1164 nucleotides long. RefSeq lists it as uncharacterized. Lineage: Eukaryota; Metazoa; Chordata; Actinopteri; Perciformes; Percidae. The record is from RefSeq and is a predicted model, not a curated record. The transcript is spliced from 5 exons.